GCGGGAGCCCUAGGCCGCAGCCGCCGCCUGCCGGCCCGGCCCGGGUCCCAGCUGCUUCGGUGUCUGGGUGAAGUUUCCAGCCAACCCAAGAAGGAAACCGAAAGGGAAGAGGCCGAGAGAGAGGUUAAUUCCUAGUGCUUUGGUUACCGAAAACAGCCCCGCUGGGACUGCUGGGCUGGGAACUUAGCUAAGCAGUGCGGAGGCUGAACCCCACCAUCUCUGGGCUCCGCAGCAAAUCAGAAGCCCCCACCCACGAUAAGGGGAAAGUGGGGCGCAGAGGGCAGGGAGGAAGGGAAGAGAAUGGAAGGAAAGCGCGUCUGGACUUCGAACUGCAGCCCUCUCCCUCUUUCCCUUGCCUCGGAAGCUCCAGGCCCACUCAGCACCAGUUCUGUCUCCUCUUUUCAGCCGCCUUCUCUCUAGCUACUGAGGGGAAAAGUCAGGAUGAAGCGGGUCCCUCGGCCUCCAGAAAGUGUUUUAUUACAGUCGCAAACAGGUAGAGCGGCAGGCACCCCAGUGAUGACUCCCUGCUCCUUAAUUGUAGGGACGCUGACACCUCACUCAUGCUCCUAAGUGGCCAUUUUGCACCCUGGCUGGGCGAGUUAGGCGGACAAAAUGAGCCCGCAAAAGUUUAAAGGCCUCCACCAAAGUAAAGGAGUGUUUCUUUUCUGAGGUGUCAUUGUAUUCCAUCCACGAACUUUAGUUCCCCCGGGUGCUCUGGAUCUGACAUGGAGUAGGAUGCUAACGUCUAAUCCCUUCUUUCCCUUUGGAAAGAUGCAUGUUUUUUCUCGGAGUCCUAGGGAAUACCUUAGAAUACUUUCAUGGUUGUCAUUGGUACACCCAUCCCUUGAGGAGCCCUGCCACCCGUAAGUAGGACUGCAAGGAAAUACAAAAUUAAGAGAAGUAUGAACCCUGAUACCCAGGAACUUAAAAUCAGGUGUAUAAAUUUUGUACACCUAAAAAAUAUGGUACCUAAAGAGGCGAACAGCAAAACAAGCAAGAAUGUGAAUCUUUAAAAUGUUUCUACUCUUCAGCGCAGCCCAGGAAUUCUACCUAAAGUAACAUAUCCUAAGGCAACAACCAAGAAGUGUGGAAGAAUGCAUGUAAGAAGACACAGUGAUGUUUAGAAUCCUGGGGAAACGGAACAGCCAAAAAGUCUCACAGAGGUUAAGUAAAUAAUAGCAUUUUCAUACAAUGAGUACUAUGUAGUCAUUUAAAAUUAUGUCUUUCAGUACCUAGUAAUGGGGAAAAUGUAUUCAUUAUAUAUUAUUAAAGAAAAUACAGGGUA
This 1285-nucleotide non-coding RNA is filed under the name Pan troglodytes (chimpanzee). Lineage: Eukaryota; Metazoa; Chordata; Mammalia; Primates; Hominidae. The record is from RNAcentral.